Molecule: ribosomal RNA, 497 nt
Filed under: uncultured bacterium
Lineage: Bacteria
Description: partial 16S ribosomal RNA
Rfam family: Bacterial small subunit ribosomal RNA
Source: RNAcentral
GAUGAACGCUGGCGGCGUGCCUAAUACAUGCAAGUCGAGCGAACAGACGAGGAGCUUGCUCCUCUGACGUUAGCGGCGCACGGGUGAGUAACACGUGGAUAACCUACCUAUAAGACUGGUAUAACUUCGGGAAACCGGAGCUAAUACCGGAUAAUAUAUUGAACCGCAUGGUUCAAUAGUGAAAGACGGUUUUGCUGUCUCUUAUAGAUGGAUCCGCGCCGCAUUAGCUAGUUGUUACGGUAACGGCUUACCAAGGCAACGAUGCGUAGCCGACCUGAGAGGGUGAUCGGCGACACGGGAACGGGGACACGGUCCAGACUCCUACGGGAGGCAGCAGUAGGGAAUCGUCCGCAAUGGGCGAGAGCAUGACGGAGCAACGCGGCGUGAGUGAUGAAGGUGUUGGGAUCGUAAAACUCGGUUAUUAGGGAAGAACAAAUGUGUAAGUAACUAUGCACGUCUUGACGGUACCUAAUCAGAAAGCCACGGCUAACUACGUG